AUACCCUUGACAGAUCCUUCUCCUGUACCAGAGGACCCUUUUGGUGGCUGGGUUCCAUCUUGCCCUGAUGGAUGGAGUAUGCACAGUCAACAGUGCCUCCUCUUUGUUCCAAGAUACAUGACCUGGGCUGAGGCUCAGAGAAACUGUCAGUCUCGUGGAGGACAGCUUGCG
Long non-coding RNA from Oreochromis aureus, 171 nucleotides. RefSeq lists it as uncharacterized. The record is from RefSeq and is a predicted model, not a curated record. NCBI's taxonomy places the organism in Eukaryota, Metazoa, Chordata, Actinopteri, Cichliformes, Cichlidae. The transcript is spliced from 3 exons.